UCCCUGGUGGUCCAGUGGAUAGGACUCCUUGCUUCCUCUGCAGGAAGCAUGGGUUCAAUUCCUGAUUGGGGAA
This is a non-coding RNA of Bos taurus (domestic cattle), 73 nucleotides long. NCBI's taxonomy places the organism in Eukaryota, Metazoa, Chordata, Mammalia, Artiodactyla, Bovidae. The record is from Rfam.